This 318-nucleotide ribosomal RNA is filed under the name uncultured bacterium. Its description in RNAcentral is "bacterial SSU rRNA". It matches the Rfam family "Bacterial small subunit ribosomal RNA", at positions 30 to 342 of the family's 1533-position model. The record is from RNAcentral.
AUUGAACGCUGGCGGCAUGCUUUACACAUGCAAGUCGAACGGCAGGCACGGGGGCAACCCUGGUGGCGAGUGGCGAACGGGUGAGUAAUACAUCGGAACGUGUCCUAUUGUGGGGGAUAACCAGUCGAAAGAUUGGCUAAUACCGCAUGAGCUGGAGACAGGAAAGCGGGGGACCCGCAAGGGCCUCGCGCGAUUGGAGCGGCCGAUGUCCGAUUAGGCUUAGUAGGAGGGUAAAGGCCUACCUAGGCGACGAUCGGUAGCUGGUCUGAGAGGAUGGAUCAGCCACACUGGGACUGAGACACGGCCCAGACUCCGUAC